Molecule: microRNA precursor, 60 nt
Filed under: Ornithorhynchus anatinus (platypus)
Lineage: Eukaryota; Metazoa; Chordata; Mammalia; Monotremata; Ornithorhynchidae
Description: microRNA oan-mir-7416 precursor
Source: miRBase by way of RNAcentral
AGCCCUUAGUCCCAGAAGAGAGCCAAGAAUUCGAGCAGCUCUAUCUGGGAUUGGGGAUCU